RNA transcript from Mastomys coucha (southern multimammate mouse), 1440 nucleotides. It is a transcript of the gene named eukaryotic peptide chain release factor GTP-binding subunit ERF3A pseudogene, with no coding region annotated. The record is from RefSeq and is a predicted model, not a curated record. The transcript has 2 exons. Lineage: Eukaryota; Metazoa; Chordata; Mammalia; Rodentia; Muridae.
AUGUUAGAAAAAAGUAGUCUAAUCCAAGAAAUAAUGGAGGAGGAAGAAGAAAUACCAAAACCCAAGUCAGUGGUGGCACCACCAGGUGCUCCUAAGAAAGAACAUGUAAAUGUGGUAUUCAUCGGGCAUGUUGAUGCUGGCAAGUCAACCAUCGGAGGACAAAUAAUGUAUUUGACUGAAAUGGUCGACAAAAGGACACUUGAGAAAUAUGAAUGAAAUAUGAACUAGAAGCUAAAGAAAAAAACAGAGUACCAAGUGUACUUGUCUUGGGCCUUAGACACAAAUCAGGAAGAAUGAGACAAGGGUAAAACAGUAGAGGUGGGUUGUGCCUAUUUUGAACCAGAGAAGAAGCAUUUUAUAAUUCUAGGUGCUCUUGGCCAUAAGAGUUUUGUCCCAAAUAUGAUUGGUGGUGCCUGUCAAGCUGACUUGGCUGUACUGGUAAUCUUAGCCAGGAAAAGAGAAUUUGAAAUUGGAUUUGAAAAAGGAGGACAGAAGCUGAGAGGAUCCUGACAGACAAGAGAACAUGCAAUGUUGGCAAAGACAGCAGAUGUCAAACACUUAAUUGUGCUUAUUAAUAAGAUGGAUGAUCCAACAGUAAACUGGAGCAAUGAGAGAUACGAAGAAUGUAAAGAGAAACUAGUACCAUUUUUGAAAAAAAGUUGGCUUCAAUCCCAAAAAGGACAUUCAUUUUAUGCCCUGCUCAGGACUGAUGGGAGCAAAUCUUAAAGAGCAAUCAGAUUUCUCUCCUUGGUACAUUGGCUUACCAUUUAUUCCAUAUCUGGAUAAUUUUGCAAACUUCAAUAGAUAAGUUGAUGGACCAAUCAGGCUGCCAAUUGUCGAUAAGUACAAGGAUAUGGGGACUGUGGUCCUGGGAAAGCUGGAAUCUGGAUCUAUUUGUAAAGGCUAACAGCUUAUAAUGAUGCCAAAUAAGCACAAUGUGGAAGUUCUUGGAAUACUUUCUGAUGAUGUAGAAACGGAUUCUGUAGCUCCAGGUGAAAAACCUCAAAAUCAGACUGAAAGGAAUCAAGAGGAAGAGAUUCUUCCAGGCUUCAUCCUUUGUGAUCUUAAUAAUCUUUGUCAUUCUGGACACACAUUUGAUGUUCCGAUAGUGAUUUAUAGAGCACAAGUCCAUCAUCUGCCCAGGUUAUACAUGCGGUGCUGCAUAUUCAUACAUGUAUAGAGGAAGUCGAAAUAACAGCCUUCCUUAAUCUGCCUGGUAGACAAAAAAAUCAGAAGAGAAAAGUAAAACUCGACCCCAUCUUGUAAAACAAGAUCAAGUAAAACAAGAUAAAGUAUACAUUGCUCGUUUAAGGACAGGAAGAACCAUCUGCCUGGAGACUUUUAAGGACUUACCUCACAUGGGGCGUUUUACCUUUAAGAGAUGAGGAUGAGACCAUUGCAACGGGAAAAGUUGUGAAACUAGUUCCAGAAAAAGACUAA